RNAcentral lists this ribosomal RNA (1213 nucleotides) under metagenome. RNAcentral's name for it is "bacterial SSU rRNA". It matches the Rfam family "Bacterial small subunit ribosomal RNA", at positions 271 to 1498 of the family's 1533-position model. The record is from RNAcentral.
AGGCUACGAUGGGUAGGGGUCCUGAGAGGGAGAUCCCCCACACUGGUACUGAGACACGGACCAGACUCCUACGGGAGGCAGCAGAGAGGAAUAUUGGACAAUGGGCGCAAGCCUGAUCCAGCCAUGCCGCGUGCAGGAUGACGGUCCUAUGGAUUGUAAACUGCUUUUAUACGAGAAGAAACACUCCAACGUGUUGGAGCUUGACGGUAUCGUAAGAAUAAGGAUCGGCUAACCCCGUGCCAGCAGCCGCGGUAAUACGGAGGAUCCAAGCGUUAUCCGGAAUCAUUGGGUUUAAAGGGUCCGUAGGCGGUUUAAUAAGUCAGUGGUGAAAGCCCAUCGCUCAACGGUGGAACGGCCAUUGAUACUGUUAAACUUGAAUUAUUAGGAAGUAACUAGAAUAUGUAGUGUAGCGGUGAAAUGCUUAGAGAUUACAUGGAAUACCAAUUGCGAAGGCAGGUUACUACUAAUUGAUUGACGCUGAUGGACGAAAGCGUGGGUAGCGAACAGGAUUAGAUACCCUGGUAGUCCACGCCGUAAACGAUGGAUACUAGCUGUUGGGAGCAAUCUCAGUGGCUAAGCGAAAGUGAUAAGUAUCCCACCUGGGGAGUACGUUCGCAAGAAUGAAACUCAAAGGAAUUGACGGGGGCCCGCACAAGCGGUGGAGCAUGUGGUUUAAUUCGAUGAUACGCGAGGAACCUUACCAAGGCUUAAAUGUAGAUUGACCGAUUUGGAAACAGAUCUUUCGCAAGACAAUUUACAAGGUGCUGCAUGGUUGUCGUCAGCUCGUGCCGUGAGGCGUCAGGUUAAGUCCUAUAACGAGCGCAACCCCUGUUGUUAGUUGCCAGCGAGUCAAGUCGGGAACUCUAACAAGGCUGCCAGUGCAAACUGUGAGGAAGGUGGGGAUGACGUCAAAUCAUCACGGCCCUUACGCCUUGGGCUACACACGUGCUACAAUGGCCGGUACAGAGAGCAGCCACUGGGCGACCAGGAGCGAAUCUAUAAAACCGGUCACAGUUCGGAUCGGAGUCUGCAACCCGACUCCGUGAAGCUGGAAUCGCUAGUAAUCGGAUAUCAGCCAUGAUCCGGUGAAUACGUUCCCGGGCCUUGUACACACCGCCCGUCAAGCCAUGGAAGCUGGGGGUGCCUGAAGUCGGUGACCGCAAGGAGCUGCCUAGGGUAAAACUGGUAACUAGGGCUAAGUCGUAACAAGGUA